AAAGAAAGAGUCUUGCCAUCUCUCUCACAUGACCUUAGUUUGAAGUCUUUAGUUUUCUGUAAUUCAGAUAACCUGCCUGUCGAGUGCACUUCUAAAUCAGAGCUGCAGAAUGCAUGAGGGUGUUGCUCUACUGGCUGGUCAUUCCUCAUCUCCAGCAGAGAAUGAGUCAAAGAUACCUGGACCUGCGAGUUCUCCACCCACGACCGUUCAGCCUCAAACUACAACCGCGGAGAGUUUGGCUCAUAGCAUCAGAAGCAAGUUUCUGAAUGAGCUUCAUAAAGUCCCAAUACCAUCCUGGGCUCUGGUGGCCCUGGGCUUCCUCAUAGUCCUCAUCAUGCUCAGCUGCUGCCUGUGUUUCUGCAAGAAGAUGAUAUUUAAGAAGAAAAAGGAAAAGGGUGGAGAAGAGAAAAAUGAAAAGAACACCAUUAACCUGUCAAACGUGAAAGAGGACAGAACAAAACAG
Cyprinus carpio carpio is the source of this 463-nucleotide long non-coding RNA. The record is from Ensembl. Lineage: Eukaryota; Metazoa; Chordata; Actinopteri; Cypriniformes; Cyprinidae.